This 433-nucleotide ribosomal RNA is filed under the name uncultured bacterium. RNAcentral's name for it is "partial 16S ribosomal RNA". It matches the Rfam family "Bacterial small subunit ribosomal RNA", at positions 29 to 507 of the family's 1533-position model. The record is from RNAcentral.
AACGAACGCUGGCGGCAGGCCUAACACAUGCAAGUCGAGCGGACCCUUCUGGGUUAGCGGCGGACGGGUGAGUAACGCGUGGGAAUAUGCCCUUCUCUACGGAAUAGUCCUGGGAAACUGGGGGUAAUACCGUAUACGCCCUUUGGGGGAAAGAUUUAUCGGGGAAGGAUUAGCCCGCGUUGGAUUAGGUAGUUGGUGGGGUAAUGGCCUACCAAGCCGACGAUCCAUAGCUGGUUUGAGAGGAUGAUCAGCCACACUGGGACUGAGACACGGCCCAGACUCCUACGGGAGGCAGCAGUGGGGAAUCUUAGACAAUGGGGGCAACCCUGAUCUAGCCAUGCCGCGUGAGUGAUGAAGGCCUUAGGGUUGUAAAGCUCUUUCAGCUGGGAAGAUAAUGACGGUACCAGCAGAAGAAGCCCCGGCUAACUCCGUG